This 858-nucleotide ribosomal RNA is filed under the name Listeria monocytogenes. Its description in RNAcentral is "partial 23S ribosomal RNA". It matches the Rfam family "Bacterial large subunit ribosomal RNA", at positions 43 to 897 of the family's 2925-position model. The record is from RNAcentral. Lineage: Bacteria; Bacillati; Bacillota; Bacilli; Caryophanales; Listeriaceae.
GAGCCGAAGAAGGACGGGACUAACACCGAUAUGCUUUGGGGAGCUGUACGUAAGCGUUGAUCCAGAGAUUUCCGAAUGGGGGAACCCACUAUCUUUAGUCGGAUAGUAUCCUUACGUGAAUACAUAGCGUGAGGAAGGCAGACCCAGGGAACUGAAACAUCUAAGUACCUGGAGGAAGAGAAAGAAAAAUCGAUUUCCUGAGUAGCGGCGAGCGAAACGGAAAGAGCCCAAACCAAGAAGCUUGCUUCUUGGGGUUGUAGGACACUCUAUACGGAGUUACAAAAGAAAGUUAUAAAUGAAGCGGUCUGGAAAGGCCCGCCAAAGACGGUAACAGCCCGGUAGUUGAAAUGGCUUUCCCUCCAGAGUGGAUCCUGAGUACGGCGGAACACGUGAAAUUCCGUCGGAAUCCGGGAGGACCAUCUCCCAAGGCUAAAUACUCCCUAGUGACCGAUAGUGAACCAGUACCGUGAGGGAAAGGUGAAAAGCACCCCGGAAGGGGAGUGAAACAGUUCCUGAAACCGUGUGCCUACAAGUAGUUAGAGCCCGUUAAUGGGUGAUAGCGUGCCUUUUGUAGAAUGAACCGGCGAGUUACGAUUUGUUGCAAGGUUAAGCGGAAAAAGCGGAGCCGUAGCGAAAGCGAGUCUGAAUAGGGCGCAUAAGUAACAGGUCGUAGACCCGAAACCAGGUGAUCUACCCAUGUCCAGGAUGAAGGUAAGGUAAUACUUACUGGAGGUCCGAACCCACGCACGUUGAAAAGUGCGGGGAUGAGGUGUGGGUAGCGGAGAAAUUCCAAUCGAACUUGGAGAUAGCUGGUUCUCUCCGAAAUAGCUUUAGGGCUAGCCUCGAGGUAAAGAGUCA